UCAGGUUGCUCAGGUGCUCGACCUCCACCU
This 30-nucleotide non-coding RNA is filed under the name Actinoplanes sp. SE50/110. Lineage: Bacteria; Bacillati; Actinomycetota; Actinomycetes; Micromonosporales; Micromonosporaceae. The record is from RNAcentral.